UAGAGAUUUGGGAUGGAGAAAU
RNAcentral lists this small nuclear RNA (22 nucleotides) under Arabidopsis thaliana (thale cress). RNAcentral's name for it is "snRNA_17449". Lineage: Eukaryota; Viridiplantae; Streptophyta; Magnoliopsida; Brassicales; Brassicaceae. The record is from RNAcentral.